GACAUGAUGGCUCAGUGGAUAGAGCGCCGCUUUAUGAACGGGAGGUCGUGGGUUCGAUACCCGGUUGAGUCA
RNAcentral lists this transfer RNA (72 nucleotides) under Strongylocentrotus purpuratus (purple sea urchin). It matches the Rfam family "tRNA". Rfam says of the family: Transfer RNA (tRNA) molecules are approximately 80 nucleotides in length. Their secondary structure includes four short double-helical elements and three loops (D, anti-codon, and T loops). Lineage: Eukaryota; Metazoa; Echinodermata; Echinoidea; Camarodonta; Strongylocentrotidae. The record is from Rfam by way of RNAcentral.